GUACACUCCUACGGGAGGCAGCAGUGGGGAAUUUUACGCAAUGGGGGAAACCCUGACGUAGCGACACCGCGUGAGCGAAGAAGCCCUUUGGGGUGUAAAGCUCUGUCAGCUGGAACGAAAACAAUGACGGUACCAGCAGAGGAAGCAUCGGCUAACUACGUGCCAGCAGCCGCGGUAAGACGUAGGAUGCGAGCGUUGUCCGGAUUUAUUGGGCGUAAAGAGUUCGUAGGUGGUUUGUUAAGUUUGGUGUUAAAGAUCGGGGCUCAACCCUGGGACUGCACUGAAUACUGGCAGACUCGAGUGUGGUAGAGGCUAGUGGAAUUCCCAGUGUAGCGGUGAAAUGCGUAGAUAUUGGGAAGAACACCGGUGGCGUAGGCGACUAGCUGGGCCAUAACUGACGCUGAGGAACGAAAGCCAGGGGAGCGAAUGGGAUUAGAAACCCGUGUAGUCCCAUG
RNAcentral lists this ribosomal RNA (455 nucleotides) under uncultured organism. Its description in RNAcentral is "partial 16S ribosomal RNA". It matches the Rfam family "Bacterial small subunit ribosomal RNA", at positions 331 to 799 of the family's 1533-position model. The record is from RNAcentral.